UUCAGAGCCUUCGGCACCGGCGGAGGCACGGGAUCGCGGCAAGGGGAUCGCUUAGCUAGCUAGCGAGGAGCGGUACUUUGCCUAGGUGGUUUACUCUUUCUUUUGUAGUUGAGAGAGUGAGAGGUUUUUGUAUCCAUGUAUAGAGACCACCUAUGUAUCUACCUAUAGCACUUGUAUCUGGGAUUUUCUUGUAUCACUUUAUGAUUUAUUUAGUGAAUUUACAGUUUUAUCCUUAUCCCUUAUUGUAGCAUUUAGACAUUUAUUAUGCUCUGAUACUCCUAAAUGUCUUUUAUUAUUGCUUUUAUUAUUGUUGUUUUUAAACGCCUUAUAUGUUUUAGACGUAUGGCGGGUCUGGGCACGUGCCGGGCGGGCUUCCGCUGGGUCCCGGGGCUUGACAGGACGUGUCGGUCUCCUAUACACUGGAGUGAUGUAGGUGAGCGUACAGAGUUCGACCCCGAUGUCCUGCGAGAAGCAGAGGAGAAAGUCCGUCUUGCUCGCAAGAGGUUGCUCACGGCGCAGUCGAGACAGCAAAGCUAUGCAGAUAGGCGGCGUCGAGAUAUAGAAUUCGCGGUAGGUGACCGCGUAUUCUUGAAAGUUUCACCGAUGCGGGGUGUGAAGCGGUUUGGAGUGCGGGAAAAACUAAGCCCCCGAUACAUUGGACCAUAUGAGAUAUUGGAGCGAGUCGGCACGGUGGCCUACCGACUUGCUUUACCGCCGAAGCUUGCGGAUGUACACAAUGUGUUCCAUGUCUCCAAUCUCCGCAAGUAUAUUCACGACCCCGAGCAUGCAAUGCUAUAUGAACCGCCGGAACUUCAAGGAGACUUGAGCUAUGAAGAGUUUCCGGUAGGGAUUAUCGCCCGAGAGGUGCAAAAGUUAAGGAAUCGAGAAAUUCCCUAUGUGAAGGUCAGGUGGAGCACUCACGAGGAUCGCGAAGCCACCUGGGAACUCGAGGAUCUGAUGAGAAAACACCACCCUCAUCUGUUUGAGGAAUAAGGUAAGAAUUUAAGUUAAAGUUAAGAAUCGAGUUCGUUUCGAGGACGAAACUCUUUUUAAGGAGAGGAGGAUGUAAGGACGUGAAUUCUCGAAAUCCGAGGAUUGUACUUCAUUCAGGAUCAACUAAUUGUCGAGAGAAUAUCCUUUGUGGGAGUUGAAAAUGUCCAAAACACAAAAAGUGCUUUGGAGUUGAGUCCGCGAGAGCAAAUGGUGCAAAUUGCAUCAUUGGGCUGAUGAUACUCUCGGGGACCGGUCUCUGGAGGUGAGAAACCGGUUCCACUGGCUGGUCGUAGCGGGGUUGCUUGAUGCAACCGGUCCCUGGUAGGGAGGGACCGGUUCCCGAACGUGGUUCCAGCAAGAAAUGCCGAAAUUUGGCUAAGUCCUGAAAAUCGAGCUCUCGGGGACCAGUCUUUCAGGUGAGGACCGGUCUCCGGGGAAGAGACCGGUUCCCGAACGCGUGCGCCCGAGGGAGGCCCUCAGGAAUCGGUCCCAAGUCGGGGAGACCGGUCCCUCCGCACGAAAUCUGCCCAGUAAGAGCAGUGUAUAGGAUUAAAAGUUGAGGGAUUUUUAUGCAAAAUGGCAUUAGUUAGGGAGGGGAUUAGAGGGGCUGAGCCCUCUUCCUCUCUCACCCUCACUCAUACUUUCUCCCUCUCUUAUUCUCUCUUGCUCUUUCUCUCUCUCUAGAAAAGAAAGGAGAAGAAGAAGAACAAGAAGGAGAGGAAGGAAAAGAAGGAGAAGAACAAGAAGGAGAAGAAGAAGGAGAUCAAGAGGAAGGCUUUGGACACCUUCAUCUUCCUCUCCUCUUCUCUUUAGUGUAGCACAAGAGGUAGGCUCUUGAACCCUAGCUUCUAGAAUUUAGGGUUUUGGGUUUUUAUGCCUUGGAAUGGGUCAAAUGGACCCUAAGCAUGCUUCUAAAUAGAUCAAUCCCAAGAAUCUAGAAAUUUAUUGAAUGGUUUGCUAUGGGUGCAAACUUAGGGCUCCAAAAUGGGGUUUUUGUGAAAGUAUGAGAUUGAUCUCAUUUGAAGCCUUGGAAACCCUAUUGUUAGGUCACAAAACGUGGGGGCGAAGUCGGUUUUAGCAUUCGACGAGCCGGCGUGAAGUUCUCGGCAAAAUAGGGCCGGGUUAGCAUCGACUUGGGCAAGGAAGGCUAAAGCCUUUUCGUGAAGUUCGCCGAGGAGCGUUUCCAAAGCCUCUACAUUGAUAAAAGGUGGGGGGUGCCAUCUCGAAGCUUUCGAACUCCUUUCUAUAUCUUAGAUUGCAUUUAAUCUCAUCUCUUACAUGUUGCAUUGUAGGAUUGCAUAGUAGCUCCCUUCCUUAUGCUUUCUAAAUGAUAACCUAGUGUACUUGGAACGCUUGGUGACUUAGAUAGGUGAGGAUUGGGUCGGAACAUGGAUUCUAUGAUGCGAAAGAAAAGAGAUGAACCCGAUGGGGGAUGUUGAUGACAUAGAAAGUAGUGUUAAUGUCAAAGAACAAACGAGUGGCAUCUAAACGCUAAAUGAUGACGAGUGGCAUUAAUGUAGUGUAAAUGACACUAGAGGUUUGAGAACCUAGGGAUAGGUGGAUCCCUUAGAAAAUGCCCUGUGGACAAGAACUUAGUAAACCUAAGUAGCCUCACAUGGAGAGGUUGGCGAUGAGUCGAUUGAGACAUUGACCCUAGUGGUAGGGCAUCCUCACUUGGAGAGGAUUUGAUUGGGUUGUGGACCCUAGUGAUAGUGCUUCCUCACUUGGAGAGGAUUCGAUUAGAUUAUUGACUCUAGUUGUAGAGCAUUCUCACUUGGAGAGGACUUGAUUGAGUUGUUGACCCUAGAUGUAGGGCAUCCUCACUUGGAGAUGAUAGAUCUAGCUCACAGUCUGCGUUUGGGAUGGUAUAGCCAUCCAAUCCCCACAUGGAGGGGAUUGUCGUCGAGUACUCCGGAGUGUCGCGCGACUAGGACCACUUGGAGGUCCGGACCACAUGGAGGUCCGCAGACGGUCCCGGGCUUGGGUGCACUUGGAGCUCCCUCCCCACUUUGGGAUUGAAAGGUGAGUUAUAGGCGAACCCUAGGGCUUCGCCACAAAUUAGGUAAAUGAAAAGGUAAAGGUUUAAUAAUGUCAUUGAACAUUGCUAUUCGAACAUGGAUCGAAUUUGUUAGCAUGGUAGCAAACCUUUAUUAAAUGAUGCAUGCAUUCAUAUUCUUGAUUAUGGGCAUAGUAGCAUAGUUUUCCUACUAUCGCAUUUACAGUUUUCAGAUACAUAUCUAUCUAUCUAUCUGUUGUUACUUGUGCCUACUUGGACCUAGUGGGGAGAUCGGCAGAGUCGGCGGCCGAGCCCACUGGGAACUAUGGAAGAUAGUUCUCACCCUACUCUAUUUCCAGUGGUAGGUACAGGGCUGCCGAGAGAGGACCGCGGCAAAGGCAUCGCGCCCGAUCAGUGAGACCGUGGUAGUAUAGUAGCUUUCCUUUUUGCAUUAGUACACCUAUGUAUUGAGAGAGAUUCAUUGUAGGUGAGGACUUGGAGAGCUAUGUAUUUUAGAGAUGAAAAAUGUAUUCAUUUAAAGAAAAUGAUGUAAAUGAAAAUGAUGGAACUAUUGUAAUAGUUAGUAAAGUACUCUCUUUAUUUCACAUGUGUACCUUGUGGAUUGCUUGCUCUUUGUAUUGUUGGCACUGUUUGUACCCUUGCGGAUGUGUAUGUUUAGAAUUUAAAUUCCCGGGUAAAUUCUUGUACACAUUCCCGUUGUUGAGCCUUGGGCGGACAUGGGAGGUGCUGUAUGUUCGGCGGUCCGCUCGCCGCGCCCGAAUCGUGCCAAAUUGGUAGUGGUUUCGGGGCGGGACCUGACAGUAAUAGUCACUAGCAACCCAUCGGUCUAGUUCUAUGUCUCAAAGUGAAGUUUCAACAUUCACUAAAUUUAAUGCCUCUUUAUGACAUUAGAACAUUACUAUAUCCAAGCAUAUUCCAAAUUCGAUGCCUCUUUAUGGCAUUAUUAGUAGGAUCAUACAUAACUCAAGCUCAAUGUCGCCUUAUGACAUUAGCUCACUAAUUCACACAUCAUUCAAGUCUAAUGCCUAAACCCAACAUGAAUAAUUCUCUACUACAUAGAGGUUCAAAUAUACUUUGUAUAUAACAUGUGCAUUCUAGGCAUUCUAAAAUUCACAAAUAUUACAUCUAGUAUGAAUAUGCAUAAAAUUUUAUUUUACGACAAGUAUAAUCAUCAUAUGAGAAUUUUUAUCUCAUUUUGGUGAGGCCAAACCCACCAAGUCUCAUCGAAAUCCUUUGCUUGCGCAAAAGGAGUUGUCCACUAUUCUCCUAGCACCCUAAAGGUAAUAAAAGGAGAGUUAAACAAACAUUACGAACAUCCCUAUGGUCGAUUAUUAACUAUAACGUAUCGAAACCUCGAUAGCGAUUAUCGAACUUUAGCCAAAUUGGUUAAAGUGCCGAGAGAAAUGGAUAGACAAAGUCCGGUUGACAUUCCAACAAUGUUGGAAGGGUCAAAGUCGAGUCCCGAGAGUGUUAAGCAAGUUUUAGCAUUGCUCGGCGUGAUUUAAAAGUGAACAAUGCGAAAGAAAUAGUUGGGUAUGUUCCAUUAAGCGUUCCAACAAUAUUGGAAGGGUUAAAAAGGAGUUCUAAAAGAGUUAAAAGGGUCUUAGCAUCAAAUGGCGCGAAAUAGAAUAAAAAACGGCGCAAAAUCAGCAUUCUGGGCAAAGUGUACCGGUACAACCAUCGAGUUGUCACCGGUACAACCCUGCAGACCGAGAAGAGCUUGCUCUCGGGUUUGAGAGAAAAAUCGAAAGUGUACCGAUACACUUUAAAAGUGUACCGGUACAAAUCCUGCGUAACCGAGAAACAUGCUUUCGGGUUGGCCUCUGCGCAAUCGUGUAUUGGUACAAAUCCAAUGUGUACCGGUACACUUUGGUCUGGCAGCACCAAUUUGGUCUGCUGCAAAUAAAAAGAAAUGGGGGGCCUAGAUGCAAUUGUAGUACCUUAUAAAACACCCCAACACCUCUCUCUCCCUCUCCCACAGCAAACACACACCUCUUCUCUCAUUUCUCUCUUUCUCUUUCUUAAGAUCACUUCCAAGAGCCAGGAGGUGAAGGAGGAGAAGGCUUUGGAGGGAUUUUUGGUGGUUUUGAAGGCUUGAGAUCUCUCCUACAAGGUGGACAUUGGAGAGCUUUGGGCUAAGGUGAGGUGUUUUGUAACAAUAGGUCUAGGGUUUGGUUAUAUGCCCUAGAAAACUAGGUUUUGUUCUUCUCUCAUGUAUAGAAACCUAGUAAUGGCUUAGAACACAUGAAAACCCUAGUUUUCUUCAUGUGCUCUAAUGGUGAAUUCCUAGGGUUUGCUUAUUAUGCCCUAGAAAUGAUUUAGAUAGUUCUAAAUGAGCUUCUAGAUGUUGAACAAGCUCUCUUUUGCUUGUUUUAGAGAUCAAAAUCUAGAUUUGAGCAAAUGGUGUUGUUAGGGCACCAAAUUUAGAGCUUUUGCCCUAGGGAGUUUCUAAGGCAAAUUAACCUUGUACAAAACCUAAUUGGGGGUAUUCCCGACACGUUGUGCAACUCGGUUUGACGUUACGAAAAGCCUAUGUAGGAGUUCUAAGUAUUAAGCCUAAUUUGGCUUCGUUUUGCCGCAGGCGAUAAAGUAGAGCUUCAAAAAUUCCAAGAAAUUCACCGUAGCACCUUUGCAACCAUACAAGGUGGGUGAUGCAUACCAAGGACCUCGGAAUUCCUUUUAUAUCUAAAGUGUCAUAUUUAAGCAUAUGUAUGUAUUGAGCAUAUUGCAUAGUAGGGGUAAUUGUGAGCUUCUUAUCGCAUGUUGUUGGUUCAAAUACAUGUGAAAUGCUAAUGAGACAAUGAGAAUUUAUAAACCCUAUGUAUGCAUGAUAAGUGACAAGAACCUAGCGGACUUAGUAAACAAAUAUGACAUGUGGAUAUGAGUCGUAGAGAGUGGCAUCUACUAGUCUUGAACACUUAGAGAACAAGUGUGGCAUCAUUAUAUGAGUACAAAGAUCAAGCAGUGUAUAUGACACUAGUAAAGGUUAACGAAUGCAAGUAUACAAAGGUAGCGACAUUAUGACAUAGCAACCUUAGAGUUAAGGGUCAUAUGUGUAUUACUUUCUUAUAGUUAAGGAAUGGAUUGAAGUUGACAUUCUUAUAGUUAAGGAUUGGAUCAUACUCACCUGUAAGUCCUUACUCGAGGGUGGUAGCUCCCCUUCGAGCGAUGUGCUCCGGAGUUGUCAUCACUGGAUCGUAGCGAGUAUCUCCCCAGAGGACAGUCCCGUCGGGUUGUAGCGGGUAUCUCCCCGAUAGUAGGGAUUUGGUUGGUGAGUUGUUGAGGGCGAAACCUACGGGUUAGCCAAGAGAUUGGGCAAUGAGAUUGUGAUCUUGCAUUCAUCAUCAGCAUACUAUUGAGCAUUGCAUUGAUUAUUGUUCAGGCAUAUUAGCUGCAUUUGUAUAGUUUGGUUACUAUCUAUAUCUCUUUUCUUCUAUUAUGUCUGAUUUAGACCUAGUGGGAAAGUCGGCGUGGUUGGUUGCCGAACCCACUUGAAACUUUGUUGUAGUUCUCACACCCCAUUUUUCACAGAGCCGGGACCGAGCGAGCUGGCAGACGAUCGCGGUAAGAGUAUUGCGCCCUAGACAGAGACCGCCCGAGAUACUUUACAUUUUGUAGUUGCAUACCCCUUUUAUAUAUAUCAUCUUUUGUACUUGGACGAUGAUUAGGGAUGUUAGAGCAAAUGUAUUAAAGAUACUUUACGAUGUUAAAUGUAAAGGUUUAUUUUGGAGAUUUGAGAUGUACAAAAGAAAUGAUGCAAAGACUGUAAAAGAACUUCGAAGUUGAAUGCAUAUAUGUGAUUUAAAUUUAAUCAUAGUGCUUGUAUGUUGAUUAGUUAGCACUUUCACUUUGGCUAUUGCUUGCCCUCGUGCAAGCCAUUAUGUAUGCUUCCGCAAGUACAAAUUUUAUACUCUAUCUGUACCUGUUGUUGAGCCUUGGGCGGACAGGGGAGGCUCUGUCCGUUCAGCGUCUGUUCGACGCACUCGAACCGGCCAAAAGGAUCGGGCUCGGGGCGUAACAUUAACCAUCUCAAGAAAAGGGACAAAACUCACCUAUAGAGUGGAAAGCCCUUCUCGAACUCCAAAUGGGAGCUAGAACCCUUCGAAUCCAACCUAGAGGAAGGUUCUAAUCCAAACAAUUGAGCUCCAAAAGCCCUAAAUCAAAAAUUCCCAAAUUAGACCCUAAUUCCUCAUUUCUAGGGUUUCUACACAAAAACCAUGAAAAUCAUGAUCUAUAGGGGAAAAGUAUGCAACUAACCUCUUUAGAUGCUCCAAAAGACCUAAGAAACCAGCUAGGGUUGAAGAUCUUCCCUCUACCAAGCUUCAAACACGAACUCAAGGCUUCUCCAAUGGUGGAAGUUGCACCAAGAAGCAAAAAGAGAAGAUUUAGCCACCAAAAUCCAAGCAAAAAGAGGAAAAAAUCAAAGAAAAUGGAGAGCGAGCUCACCUCUCCUUCUUUCCUGUUGCAACACAAGAGCCCCAUCCAAGAGGUGUGGGGGAAUAUAUAGUGUUGCUACAAUUACAAAGAAAUCCCUCAAAAACUGUCAGACUGCAGUUUGCAAAGUGUAUCGGUACACAAAAAAGUGUACAGGUACAAAUCCAUAAUACGCGCGAACCCAAGGCUCGGGUUAGGAGAAACAGCAAUGUGUACCAGUACAAAUCGAAUGUUGUACCGGUACAACCUCUUGUUCCGGUACAACUUCAAUGUCGUACCGGUACAACACCCUACAGACCCCAACCCGAGAGCGGCCUAAGUUCUUCUCUUUGGAGACCUUAGGGCUAAGUCAAAAAUCUCGUUUCUCAGGAUGCGAGCCAUAGGUCGGUACACUGUCAACGACUCUCCAGAAUAGCUAGAAAAACUCGAAACAUAGGUCAAACACUCGAACCUCACAAUUUGCAAAGGUCCAGUGUGUUACACGCCUUAUAUGUGUAGGCAUAUGGCAGGUCUGGACACGCACCGGGCGGGCCUCUGCCGGGUCCCGGAGGGUGACAGUGUUGGCCGCGGCUUUUCCUCCGUCGUCAUCGUCGCCUUAGCUGGCCGUCGCCCUCUUGGGUCCUUUCUCAUCCACCUCGACCGCUCUUGGCCGGUGUCUACCUUUCUUGGCCGCCAAAGCCCGAGAGAAAGGAGACCAACCUUGGACUACCCAAGCUAAGGCUCGCUAUUGACCAACUAUACUAUUCCGGUCAUUCUCGCGAAAUGCCAUAAUGAGAUGCUUCACAUUGUGGUCAUCCCAAACAACGUGAUUUCAGUUUUGGAGUAUCCAUACAUGCUGUAUAAAGCCCGGGAAUAUCUUGGCUCGAAGCUCGUAGCGAUCGACAAGUGAAACGGUGCCCGUACACAUGUUCUAGUAUGCUUUUGGCCGUGUUUUCGCAAAGUAGGUGAUCGUUGUUGAUCACAAUGAUUGGUGGGCAUUAUUUGCUAGUUGGGGACUCAUUGUUGUGAAGCUCAGGCAAUCGAGUGACCAUAGACGGGUUCCGGAGCCAAAACAACACCUUUUUGGAACUGUAACAUACCAGAUUUUGGUAUAAAAAUAAAAAUAAAUAAAAAUAGUAUGAGAAACUAUUUUUAUUGGAUUUAUAGAAGCAAAACAUAAGUCAGAAGUGACUUGUGCUGAAAUCGGAAUGAAAACAGAAGAUUUAGAAUUUUCUGUUGAAAACGGGACAGAUAAAUUAGCAGAAAAUACACAGUCUCAGAAAAUUAUGAAAAUUGGAGGAUAAGUCAGAAAUAUUUUUAUGAGGCUAGAUUUAAAGUUUCAUAUUUUUCUGACACCCGAAAGGUGGAAAAUAAAAUCCGACAAGUUAUCUGAUAAAGAUUACAGUUCGGUACAGUUUUCGGUGACCAAAUGGGGUCGAAACUGAAAACUUAAGAUAUAUUCUUACUCAGUACGUUAAACUGAGACUGUCUGUCAAAUUUGAGCUCAAACGGACACUCAGAAGGGCCCCAACUGUUCCGAACUGCUAAACUGCCCUCGAGUGAAUAGUGUUGGAGGGUGUUAAUUAUAUAAGAAGCCUUUGCUUCUUCUCCUCCAGCCGACCACACACAUGCGCCACACCCACACACACGCAUGGAAAGGGAAAGAGAGAACCCACCCUUUCUCUCUCUAGAUCUCUCCCAAAAUUGAAGGUUUUGGUGGAGAAGCAAGCUUGGAAGUUGAUCUUCAUCUUCUUCGUCUUCUUCUUCUCCCUUGGAGCUAGCUUAAGAGAUAAGCUUUGAUGCCCUUUAAUGGUAGAAUUGUAGGGCUUCAAUUAUAUGCUCUAAGAAUGAAUUUAGUGGAACUCCUAGAUGCUAAAUAGAGGAUUAAUGCUUGAAUCAUGAAGCUAUAUGAUGAUUUCUUGCAUAGUUACAACCUAGGGCUCCAAAAUGCAAUUUUUGCUAAUAGAUGGGUUUGAUCUAUUUUGACCCUAUGUAAACCUAAUUGCUAGGUAAACGAACGCGUUGGCGAAGUCAGUUCGGCGAUUCGUCGAGCCGUUGCGAAGUUAUUAAAGAAACGGACGUUUAGGCUUCGUUUCUGCCUGGAGGGCCGAGGCGACAUCGUAAACUCAUGAAAAUGGAUUUGAAGCACUGUGGCACAUAACCGAAGACCUUUAAUUUUCGGAUCAUGGAUUGGAGGCCGUUCGGGUGGUCGCGCGAGCGAUCGGGCCAAACCGGGUGCCAGGUGCCGCGGUAGGCCGAUUGCAAGUGUCGACAAGCAAUCGGAAUGCGAAAUGAGGUGGGUUGUGCUUACCGAAGCGACUAGGUCGCCUGUAUGUCUAAGUAAAGUGAAUUCGUGUUGAUGCAUAUAAAUGCUAGAUGGAUGCAUGUAGUAAAUGCUAAAGAAAAUGCAUGCUAAAGAUGUAAUAUAAAUGAUGCUAGUUAAAAACAUGAGAUAAAUGACAUUUGCAUGUUAACAAAAAGUAGAGAACAUGCUACUUGUAAAGUAUAAUGAUAAGUUGUAAAGGAUGCUAAAUAAAUGCAUGAAUGAUGUGGUAUAGAAAUGCUAGAAUAUAUGCAUUGGUUAAUGUUAGUUGGAUGCAUGUCAUGGAAAUGCUAAAUGUAAGCAUGUGGCUAAUACUAAGAUAUACUUGAUAAUCAUGUUAUAGAGAUACUAAUAUUAAGAAAAGGAUAUGGGCAUGUGGACAUAUAUAUAUAUGCACAUAGAUCGAGUGGCAUUAAACCUAGAGUCAUGGAUAUAGGUUGAAUAUGGAUGAUAUGAACCUAGUGUCAAAGAACAUAGGUUGGACAUCAAGUGGCAUUAAACCUAGUGUCUUGAACAUAGGUUGAACAAGUAUAGUGUGAACCUAGUGUCAUGAACCUAGCAAAUACUUAUGGUAUUUGAGCAUACAUAUUUUGUAUCAUUCAUGCUUGAUAGGACUAAGUACAUGUGAACCUUGGUUGCUUUCAAUGACAUGUUCUAACGUAGUUGAACAUAGAGAAUGGUAGAACCAUAAUGGAUAUGUAUGUUAGGAUCCCAUAAUUGUGUGAAUGUGAGAGUUGGACUUGGACAUAGUAAAUAAAGGUGACAUGGACAAUAGAGACAUUGAUUAGCAUAGAGAACAUAAUUGUUAAAUAUAGUUUAACCAAGAGUGGCAUUGAGACAGGAAUGACCUAGAGAGCGGCAUGAAUAAAUAGGUAGAAAACCUAUUAUGAUUGUGGCAUUUGUGGAAUUGUGGUUUAUGGCUAUACUUUCCCAAAUUGGGAAUUGGAUCAUACUCACAUUGAGUCUUGGCUUGAGGGCGGUAGGUCCCCCUCAAGCGGUGCAUUCCGGAAUUGUCACCACGGGAGCGCGGUUCCUAAAGACGGUCCCUCGGGUCUUGCAGUGCUUAGAGCCUCCCCGAUCAAAAGAGAUUUUGGGUUAUGAGUUCGAGGGGAACUGGGUGAACCUCGAUGCAAUUGGGUAAAAGCCAAGUGAAUGUACAUUAAGCGUUAUGAGCUAUAGAUUGAGUAUCCCUGUCGAGUGGAUUUGGGGCUGAGGUGUAUGUGAGACGUCCAUUACCUCGAGUCUGGUAUUGAUGCGGUAUUCCGCAGUUGAUUGACUCGAGACCGAGUCGGUUGGUUAGCUUGGCUAGGGUAGAGGAAAACCUUAGGAGCAAGUAACCAAUGAUUGUAAAGUGACAAGAUGUAUAAAAUUAUGGAAAAGCUAUGAAUAGCAUGAUAGAAAGUAAAAUCCUUCAUUCUACUUGUAUAGUUGCAUGAUUCGUAUAUAGCAUGGCAUUAUUGCAUUCGUGAGGCAAGGCAUGGUUUUAUUAGUUGCAUAAUAAAGAUAUAUAUAUCUAUCUGUUUAUUGAACUAACUUGCAGUUGCCUCCCUUGGACCUAUUGGUCGAGCUUUUCCCUUGGGUGGCCGUAUCCACUGGGAAUCAUGGAAUUGGUUCUCACCCCACAUUAUUUUGGGGUGUUACAGGUUCACACGUGAGCGGCGCGGCGGCGCGAGGCGAGGGCGUAACUCCAUAGUUAGCGCCCUACCACCGAGACCAGAGAUAGCGGUACCCUGAGUCGGCUUUACUUAGGGAUGUAAGAAAAUGAAAGGAAUAAGAUUGUAAUAAUUUGUAAUAAAAGCAUGAUUGUAUUUGAAAGUUAAAUGUAUAAUAAAAUUGUGAUGUAAAAUGUAUCUAAAUAAUGUGAAUGCUUGUAAUAGCAAGUAGAUUAUGUUUUUGAUACUUUCUUAUGCAAUCUUUGAUUGAAAUGUGUUCAUGGUUGGAACUUCGUACAUUGUAUUGAUUGCGACACCUUGAAUGUACAGAGGAGACUCUGUCCGCGGUACAGGAAAAACCCUGUCCGUUCGGCGGUCUGUUGCGACGCCGCGACCCAGCCAAAUAGGCGGGCGGUCGUGGGGCGUGACAGGAACCUUGUAUAGCUAAUUGUGGGGUUUUUGCCCUCGAAUUGUACUAUUUGGUGUGCGGCUGUCUCGAUACUCAAAAGUUAGUGUCCUGGUACAAAAUGGGAGUGUCAAGUGCUGUUCGAAGUGCUUCAGAUUACUCCGGGGUUGAAACAGACCCUAAAAUAUGAGCAAUCGAGAAAUUUUAGAUAUAGAAUCACAAAUUGUGUGAUGCGACUAUUUGUAGCAGUGUUUGGGCCUUAUAUGUUGGUCAUCCUUAAUAUCUUGUGUGUUCGGAGAUAGUAGGAGGGUUGAUGGUUGGUUCUAGAGUCGAAUUGGCAUGCCGUAGAUCCCAACGUAGUUCGGUUGAUGUUUUACAUACUUGUUUGCAUCACAUUUGUGUGUUGCUACCUAGGCACCCAAGUAGGUGUGCUUCAGGGCAGCGGAUGAUAUUUUGUGAGCUUUGUUACUCUUUGGGACAUUUCAUGGGAUUCGAAAGGGUUACAGUGUGUUGUCGGGUAUUUCCGGCAGGUUUCGAGAUUCAGUAAAGGUACCGAAUCUCAGUUGGUUUUCCGGGUUGUGUGAUAGGUAAUUUUAUGUCUCUUAGGGUUUGUUCAUAUCGAUUGUGAUUCUGUAGAUUUUUUAUAGGUCUAGGUAAUAUGUUGGAGCAUUGUUCGAGCUCGGUGCUCCACUAGAUUACAGGUGGGUACUUCGAUUCGAAGUCGGUCUAACGGGGCAGGCUCGGUGACUUCUUCUUUUUUUCCUUUUCUGUGGCUACAUAACUUAUCAUGAUUAUAUAUUCAGUAUCUUGCAUACUACUUGGUAUUCGUUGGUCUACUCUACUCUUGUUUCAUCUUGUAGCAUCAUGAUUGAUCUAGUUGUAAAGUAACAUUUUAGUGAUUGAUUAUCAUUGCAUGACUCCAUGAUCGGUGACAUUCAUACAUAGUGAUACGGUUAUAUAGACCUUAUAGGUUAGUGACACGGUGAUAUUCCUUCGGGAAUAUCAGACCUGGUUUGAUUCGAUAUGGUUGUAGAUUGUUGGUUCGGCUAUCUGCCGUUGUUGGCCGUUGAGCAUAUUGCAUCGAUCGCCAUAGCUUAUGAGUAUUUCAUGUACACCAGCGGUCUGAUCCACCGCAAGAGGAUAUUCUUUUCCAGAAAAUUAGUCGUACUUCUGACCCGUGAACUCUAGCGGCCUAUUGCUAGGGCCAUAUGCCAUUUAGAGCAGGCGUGGCAUUGCCUCAGGUUUUUAGACCAAUACGGCAGUUAAUUGGGUGUACUUGUACUAUUGAUUUUAGUUGACGCGUAGUUGUUUCUCCAUCUUCCUUUGUAGUUGCGGUUGUUCAUACUAUUGUUGCAGUUAUUUUCAGUUCAGUUAUCGUUGCUACCGCUCUAUUUUGACUGCUGAUUAUAGUUGUUCGUUACUUUAUUAUCUCACUUUACAGUAGUAGCUUGUUUUGUGAUUAUUGGUAGUUGUUAUUCAUUAUUAUUAUACCUGAAUUUGUUAUUACUAUUGUCAUUCCUUCCGUCUGCCGGUGUGUACAACUUACUAAUCGUCAGCUUACGAUACCUACUUGGAGGGGGAGACUUAUUUAUAUGCUCUCAGCCCCUAACUAUUUUUCAGGUAGCUCGGGUGAUGAGGGUCCAGACGGUGUGUGAGGACGAUUCUAGAUAGCGGUGUUUCGGAUUGGUCCCUUGUCGACAUCCACAUUCGUAGCCCUAGCUUAGUUCUCGAGUUUUGUUAUUAGUGUGGAUCUUUUCGUUGGUUUAGUAUGUAUCUACUAAUUAGAAAUAGUGAUUACAUGGUGGAUCUAAUCUUUGGUCAUCUGAUUUUUAUGCGGAUUAUUAGUUUUCCGCAAUUAUCUCCUUAUUAUAGUUAUUGUAUCUCUGUAUGAUUGUGGUGUGGUUGAUGUUUGUACUCUUGUGCUACACCGUGCACGUAUAGAAGAGGUCUAUGUGGUGGGUUUGUGUGCGCCAUGAGAGAUUUUUAAGGGUGUUAAAACAAAAAAUUAUGCGUUUUCCGCUUGUUUUUUCUUAAAAGGAUUCUCAAAAGAAUCCCGGGCGUGACAUUAUAAGUUUAUAACUAUAAUGUACAUAAGAGUAUUUUGAAAAAUUUUUAAUUAGUUAUAAUAUAAUUUUUUAAUCUUAAAAUUUUUAACAAUUAUAUAUUUUAAUUGAGUGAAAUAUUGUCUACCCGCUGCGAACCACAGUGUAACGCACUGGACCUUGCAAAUUGUGGGGUUCGAGUGAUUGAGUGCGUUCUGAACUUUUCCAGACUUUCUGGUAGGUCGUUGACUGUGUUCCGACCUAUGGUUCGAGUCCCGAGAAUUGUGGUUUAAAACCUUGCAUCAAAAUCCAAAAAUUUGGAUUUUUGGUCAGCUCUCGGAUAGCCUUCAGCAGGCCAUGUACCGGUACGAGUUCACUUGUUGUACCGGUACGGGGUUGAUGGCUGUACCGGUAUGGGCCCGCGUACCGGUACACAGACGGCUUUUCGGCCAAACCCGAGGCUCGGGUUUGCGUUUUCGUGGGUUGUGUACCGGUAUACAAACCCGUGUACCGGUACACAGUGCAGAUUGGGGCUGUUUCGUGGAGGGGUGUUUUUGCAAUUGUUGCAACACCUUUAUAAGUGACCCCAGCCCCCUUGGCUGCUCUCCUUGAGCUCUAAACAGGGAGAACAAGGUGAGUCUUCUCCUCUUGGUUUGAUCUCCAUUUUUUGGUGGUUUUUAUGGGUUUUGAUCUCUCUCCUUCUCUCCUUUUUGCUUUUUGCGGGUUUGCGACCAUUGGAGAAGCUUGAGAUCUUGGUGGGAGCUUAUUUGGAGAUCGUUUUACUACUUGCCAUUGUGCUCAUUCGCACAUGCUUGUGAGGGUCGCUCCCUACAAGCCGGCAUUCCGGAGAUAGCCAUCGCGAUUCAUAUUCGCCGUGCGGAAUUGAGCGCCGAAGUGGAUUGCCGCGGGACAGGCUUAUUCCUAGGGUGGGGAUGAUGACUACCACGGGGCCAUUAGGCUCGGCACCGGCCAGACAGCCUACGGAUGGAUUUUAGGGCCAUAGACAGCCUUCGGGUGGGUCUCUUCAGAUUUGACUUUGAGUAUUCAUUAUGACAUGUGGACAGAUGAUGACUUAGCGUACUACUUGGACAUUGACUAGAAUAGUAAACAACGAAACUUUACUAUUUCGCAUUGUGAACAUUAUGAUAGUUGGAGACUUUUACUUCAUGCAUAGUUGCUUCAUAUUUAUGCUAUUUAUGCUAAGUAGAGAUAUCAUGUUGUAGUAAGUUACAUUUUUACUUACCUUUCGCUUUUUUAUAUUUAUAGUCACUGACAUCUUUUGUAGCUUUGGGCCUUGUGGUGCAUUCACUGAAGUCAGUAAUUGCCCACUGGGAACUAUUUUUAAUAGUUCUCACGCCCUCGUUUUAUUGUUUACUUUUCAGAGCCUUCGGCACCGGCGGAGGCACGGGAUCGCGGCAAGGGGAUCGCUUAGUUAGCUAGUGAGGAGCGGUAUUUUGCCUAGGUGGUUUACUCUUUCUUUUGUAGUUGAGAGAGUGAGAGAUUUUUGUAUCCAUGUAUAGAGACCACCUAUAUAUCUACCUAUAGCACUUGUAUCUGGAAUUUUUUUGUAUCACUUUAUGAUUUAUUUAGUAGAUUUACAGUUUUAUCCUUAUCCCUUAUUGUAGCAUUUAGACAUUUAUUAUGCUCUGAUACUCCUAAAUGUCUUUUAUUAUUACUUUUAUUAUUGUUGUUUUUAGACGCCUUAUAUGUUGUAGACAUAUGGCGGGUCUGGGCACGCGCCGGGCGGGCUUCCGCUGGGUCCCGGGGCGUGACACACAGACCCUACACUAGUACAUAACGAAGAGGGACGGCAUACUUCUCUCACACGGUCCGAUCUCAUAGACCGUGUGCUGCGCUCAAGAUACGUGCCGUGUGUUUCACCUUUUGGGUUUUGAUUUCUGCUCUUUUUGAGCAGAAAACGAAACAAAAAAUUUUUCAAGAAUCCGUAAAAAAAAUUUUUAGAAAAAUUUUACAGACAACCAAAUAUUCGGAAAUUCGGGACAGUUUUAUAAGCAACCAAA
Molecule: long non-coding RNA, 15867 nt
Filed under: Ananas comosus (pineapple)
Lineage: Eukaryota; Viridiplantae; Streptophyta; Magnoliopsida; Poales; Bromeliaceae
Description: long non-coding RNA (ACOM_LNC001077)
Source: RNAcentral